CAAUAGCGUAUAUUCAAGUUGUUGCAGUUAACAAGCUCGUAGUUGGAUUUUUGGUCUGAUGCCCUGACCCGCCUCAAUUUCGAGGUGCCUGCCGGCUGUGCGUCUACCAUCCUUCUAGAACACGUUCCUACCCUUCACUGGGCCGGGUUCGCGAUCUAGAUCUUUUACUUUGAACAAAUUAGAGUGUUUAAAGCAGGCUUUUGCUAUGAAAACAUUAGCAUGGAAUAAUAAUCUAGGACUUCGGUUCUAUUUUGUUGGUUUCUAGUACUGAAGUAAUGAUUGAUAUGGAUCGUUGGGGGUGGCUAGUAUUGAGCGGCCAGAGGUGAAAUUCUUGGAUUCGCUCGCCUAACUUAUGCGAAAGCAUUCCAAGGAGGUCUUCUUUAAUCAAGAACGAAAGUUGGGAGAUCGAAGAUGAUCAGAUACCAU
This 426-nucleotide ribosomal RNA is filed under the name uncultured eukaryote. RNAcentral's name for it is "SSU rRNA". It matches the Rfam family "Eukaryotic small subunit ribosomal RNA", at positions 592 to 1018 of the family's 1831-position model. The record is from RNAcentral.